GAUAAAAAAGUCCCUGAUUGUUAACUCUGUUAGUCACUUUAGUCCAAAACAUUAAAUAUCAGUUAACUUUGGUGAUGUGUCUUAAAAUUCUGCUAUGUGGCAAGCUGACUAUAAUAUUAUAAUAAUUUGUUUAUUUUUUAUUUGUCUUUUAUUUUAACUAAUUUUAAUUUUAAAACAAAAAUAUAAGAAAAGACUUUAGAAUUCAUCACCAAAUUCAUAAUUUAAAAAACAAACUGAAAUAUUCACCUAGCGCUAGAAUCAAAUAGAAUCCAAAACAUUGCCAUUUCUCUCAAUCUCCAAAAUUAAAUUGAAGUGAAUAGACAAGAAGUAAAAAUAAAGUUUGAAUCUAGGAUUUCAUGGAGAUAUUGUUCAAUUGAAAAUAGAGAUAUUAUUAAAUUAGAUAUUUUUAUUCGAGUUUGAAUCUAGGAUUUCAUGGUAACAAUCAUGAAUACUUAGCUUAUUUUUCAAACACUAUUUCAAGUAGCUUAUAGCUUAUCAUUUUUUCUUUCAAUUUUACCAAUAUCAUCUUACUUGAAAAAAUCAGACUUAUUCACUAUAAACUAAAAACUAGCUUAUAAGCUAUCCCCUUCUCACUCACUAUAAGUUAGCUUAUUUUUAUCGAACAAAACCUUAGUUUAAAACAGUUCAAACAGCUUUUGGUGGUGGUAAUCUCAACUCUCAAAUUAUAAUUCACAAGGACACCGGAAAAAAAAAAGUUCCAAAACAUCCACUUACACUAUUCUAAAGUAAUAAUGACAGAGCUAUCAUUGUUGCCAUUGUUAUUAUUAUCAUCAUCACUCUCUGGUUUUCAUUUUUGAACAAGUUUAGGGUUUUGAUUUGUAGCAUUGUUGUGACUAUGAACAAACCAACAAAUUUGGCAACCACGGUGAGAAGUGGAGAAGCAUAAAAAGCUGGCAAGAAGAACAUUAUAUACUUCUCAUAUGAAGUUCAGAAGCACGUUUGAAAACACUUUAUCAUAAAAACAAAAAUUAGUCAUCGAUUUCUGAUGAUAAUUUUUUUUAUGAUAAAGCGGUCGCAAAGGCACUUCAUCAACUUUAUUGUACGCCAUAAAAAAAUGACAAACAGAAUCAGAUGAAUAAUUUAACCUCAGACAUCCAAGGAAGGAAAAAGCAGCAUUAGCUCUCAAGCCUGGCGAAAGGCGAAAGCUCUUAGGCGGCCACUGCGAAUGUUUUGAGAAACAAGCCUUAGAUUUAUCAUCAUUGGUCAUUUAAAUUAAAUAAAACAUAACAUACAACAUUUUUAUUGUUCGAUUUACAUAAGCAAAACCUAGGUUUCAAAAUCAUGAAUCAACUUUCCAAUAAAAUUUCAAAAUCACAGUUUCUUGCUUCAUUAGUAAAGCAGAAGCAACAAUAACAAUAUUUUUUCAAUCAGUUAAAAAUAAUUAUAGGAUCAACAUUAUGAAACUAUAUGGUUAUUACAUAAUCAACAUUGUCUCAGACAUCCAAGGAAGGAUAAAAACAGCACUAGCUCUCAAGCCUGGCGAAGGCGAAAGCUCUUGGGCGGCCACUGCGAAUGUUUUGAGAAACAAGCCUUCAAGAUAUCAUCAUAGACAACAAUUACAUUAACCAAAUUUAAUCAAAUUAAUCCAAAAAUUGACGCAACAAAAAUCUGCAUCAUAACCAAAACUAGUAGUACACAACCUAAUGAAAUCAAAAUCAAGAUCAAAGUAUUAGAAAAAAAAAUAGAAUUUUUCUUAAUUCAUAAGAUUUUGUAAAAACAAACUGCAUCAUGGUUGAAAAUUAGUAUAAAUUUGACCUCAUUGAGAAGAUUAGAUAGUCCACAAAGUAAAACUUCAGACAUAUGCUUGUCUAUUAUAAAUAUUUUAUUCAUUGGUCAAAACAUUCUACUCAAUCAGUCCCAAAAUAAAUGUCACAGUAUACAAACAAACAUCAUUAAACUACACUUACAAAAACAAAAAUCAUUAAACUCUUCAAAGGAAAAACAAACAUAAACUCAUUCAACUAAAAAUAAGAAAAUUUGUGAAUGGAACAAAGGACUCAGAAUAUGGGUGGUGAUAUAACAGGAUGGUCGGCAAGGUCAAAAAAGACCAAUUACGACGAACGAGACCUAUCACAGAAAUCAUCAAUGUCCAAAUCAUGUUUAAGAUAAUUCAAAAUUAAAUCAAAUUUAGAAUAACAAAAACACAAAUUAGAAGCUUAAACAACAAUAAACCCAGAAGCUCAAAAUAAAAUACGAGAGUAAAAAAGAAAACUUUGAAGAGGGAUUGAAAAACCCUAUAGAGGAAUUGAAGAAAAAACUAGGUUGAGAGGGUGAAUUUUGCGGCUAUGUGAUUU
RNAcentral lists this long non-coding RNA (2315 nucleotides) under Trifolium pratense (red clover). RNAcentral describes it as "long non-coding RNA (TPRA_LNC002500)". Lineage: Eukaryota; Viridiplantae; Streptophyta; Magnoliopsida; Fabales; Fabaceae. The record is from RNAcentral.